AGAGUUUGAUCCUGGCUCAGAACGAACGCUGGCGGCGUGCUUAACACAUGCAAGUCGAGCGCGAAAGGGGCCUUCGGGCCCUGAGUAGAGCGGCAGACGGGUGAGUAACACGUGGGUAACCUGUCCCGAGGCGGGGAAUAACCACUGGAAACGGUGGCUAAUACCGCAUGAGACCACGACUCUGCGGAGUCAUGGUUAAAGGCUUCGGCCACCUUGGGAGGGGCCCGCGGCCGAUUAGCUAGUUGGUGAGGUAACGGCUCACCAAGGCGACGAUCGGUAGCUGGUCUGAGAGGAUGAUCAGCCACACUGGUACUGAGACACGGACCAGACUCCUACGGGAGGCAGCAGCAAGGAAUUUUGGGCAAUGGGCGAAAGCCUGACCCAGCGACACCGCGUGAGGGAAGAAGGCCUUCGGGUUGUAAACCUCUUUUCCUGGGGAAGAAUUAUGACGGUACCCAGGGAAUAAGCCUCGGCCAACUACGUGCCAGCAGCCGCGGUAAUACGUAGGAGGCGAACGUUAUUCGGAUUUAUUGGGCGUAAAGUGAGCGUAGGCGGUUCCUUAAGUCGAAUGUGAAAUCUUCUGACUCAAUCAGAAGGCGCCAUUUGAUACUGGGGGACUUGAGAGCAGCAGAGGAAAAUGGAAUUCCCGGUGUAGCGGUGAAAUGCGUAGAUAUCGGGAAGAACACCAGUGGCGAAGGCGAUUUUCCAGGCUGUUUCUGACGCUGAGGCUCGAAAGCGUGGGGAGCGAAGCGGAUUAGAUACCCGCGUAGUCCACGCCCUAAACGGUGGACACUGGAUAUAGGAGGUAUCGACCCUUUCUGUGUCGAAGCUAACGCUUUAAGUGUCCCGCCUGGGGAGUACGGCCGCAAGGCUGAAACUCAAAGGAAUUGACG
RNAcentral lists this ribosomal RNA (893 nucleotides) under uncultured bacterium. RNAcentral describes it as "bacterial SSU rRNA". It matches the Rfam family "Bacterial small subunit ribosomal RNA", at positions 8 to 915 of the family's 1533-position model. The record is from RNAcentral.